UACGAAGGGGGCUAGCGUUACUCGGAAUUACUGGGCGUAAAGCGCGUGUAGGCGGUGCACCAAGUCAGAUGUGAAAUCCCAAGGCUUAACCUUGGAACUGCAUUUGAAACUGGAGCACUUGAAUAUGGUAGAGGAUAGUGGAAUUCCUAGUGUAGUAGUGAAAUACGUAGAUAUUGGGAGGAACACCAGUGGCGAAGGCGGCUACCUGGACCGGUUCUGACGCUGAGGCGCGAAAGCGUGGGUAGCAAACAGG
This 253-nucleotide ribosomal RNA is filed under the name uncultured bacterium. Its description in RNAcentral is "partial 16S ribosomal RNA". It matches the Rfam family "Bacterial small subunit ribosomal RNA", at positions 524 to 776 of the family's 1533-position model. The record is from RNAcentral.